UACGUAGGGGGCAAGCGUUGUCCGGAUUUAUUGGGCGUAAAGAGCGUGUAGGCGGCCUGGUAGGUCAGCUGUGAAAACUCGAGGCUCAACCUCGAGACGCCGGUUGAAACCAUCUGGCUAGAGUCCGGAAGAGGAGAGUGGAAUUCCUGGUGUAGCGGUGAAAUGCGCAGAUAUCAGGAAGAACACCCGUGGCGAAGGCGGCUCUCUGGGACGGUACUGACGCUGAGACGCGAAAGCGUGGGGAGCGAACAGG
RNAcentral lists this ribosomal RNA (253 nucleotides) under uncultured bacterium. RNAcentral's name for it is "partial 16S ribosomal RNA". It matches the Rfam family "Bacterial small subunit ribosomal RNA", at positions 524 to 776 of the family's 1533-position model. The record is from RNAcentral.